Long non-coding RNA from Cavia porcellus (domestic guinea pig), 331 nucleotides. RefSeq lists it as uncharacterized. The transcript is spliced from 2 exons. The record is from RefSeq and is a predicted model, not a curated record. NCBI's taxonomy places the organism in Eukaryota, Metazoa, Chordata, Mammalia, Rodentia, Caviidae.
GCUGGGGGAGGGCCCUCUCCUGCGGAAUAGAGGGACGCCCCCCAGGGAAGCACAAAUGCACUUUUAUUACUGCAGCGUGUCUCUCAGUAUGGAUCAUGAGAGAUCUACAAGAAUUUCUCUAGGACUGAAGACAUUUGGAAGCCAAGCCUGGAUUCAAGACUUUAAAUCACUGAACAUUAAGAAAUACUUAAGGGCCACUAAGUGACGAGGGCAGUGCUAGCACUGCAGAUACUGCAUUUAAGACUGAAAGGUUUCUGAUCCUUAGGAAGGUUACAUUCUAAAAUAAGAUUCUUAUAAUAAAUAAACAAGAAUAAAGAUGAGUACAGCUGGA